This 253-nucleotide ribosomal RNA is filed under the name uncultured bacterium. RNAcentral describes it as "partial 16S ribosomal RNA". It matches the Rfam family "Bacterial small subunit ribosomal RNA", at positions 524 to 776 of the family's 1533-position model. The record is from RNAcentral.
UACGGAGGGCGCGAGCGUUGUCCGGAAUCACUGGGCGUAAAGGGUGCGUAGGCGGCGCGGUAAGUCGGGUGUGAAAUCUCGGAGCUUAACUCCGAAACUGCAUUCGAUACUGCCGUGCUUGAGGACUGGAGAGGAGACUGGAAUUUACGGUGUAGCGGUGAAAUGCGUAGAUAUCGUAAGGAAGACCAGUGGCGAAGGCGGGUCUCUGGACAGUUCCUGACGCUGAGGCACGAAGGUCAGGGGAGCAAACGGG